AGGGCACCACCAGGAGUGGAGCCUGCGGCUUAAUUUGACUCAACACGGGAAAACUUACCUGGUCCUGACACUAGAAGGAUUGACAGAUUGAUAGCUCUUUCUUGAUUUGGUGGAUGGUGGUGCAUGGCCGUUCUUAGUUGGUGGAGUGAUUUGUCUGGUUGAUUCCGAUAACGAACGAGACUCUAGCCUAUUAAAUAACACACAGAAUCUUGUCUUCUGUGGCGUUUCUUAAUGGGAUCAAGUGUGUUUAACACUUUAAAACAGAGCAAUAACAGGUCUGUGAUGCCCUUAGAUGUUCGGGGCCGCACGCGCGCUACAUUGAGAGACAAAAUGAGUUUUCUAGUCUUUAAUAAGGCUAGUAAUCUUUGAAUGUUUUUCUUAAUGGGGAUAGGGGAUUGCAAUUGUGCCCCUUGAACGAGGAAUUCCCAGUAAGUGCUAGUCAUUAGCUAGUACUGAUUACGUCCCUGCCCUUUGUACACACCGCCCGUCGCUACUACCGAUUGAAUGGUUUAGUGAGAU
Molecule: ribosomal RNA, 519 nt
Filed under: uncultured eukaryote
Lineage: Eukaryota
Description: SSU rRNA
Rfam family: Eukaryotic small subunit ribosomal RNA
Source: RNAcentral